GCCAGCGUAGCUCAGUUGGUAGAGCAAUGCUUUUGUAAAGCAAAGGUCGGGGGUUCGAAUCCCUUCGCUGGCUCCA
Molecule: transfer RNA, 76 nt
Filed under: bacterium
Lineage: Bacteria
Description: tRNA-Thr
Rfam family: tRNA
About the family: Transfer RNA (tRNA) molecules are approximately 80 nucleotides in length.
Source: RNAcentral